RNAcentral lists this transfer RNA (67 nucleotides) under Halicryptus spinulosus. RNAcentral describes it as "transfer RNA-Ile". Lineage: Eukaryota; Metazoa; Priapulida; Priapulimorpha; Priapulimorphida; Priapulidae. The record is from RNAcentral.
AAUAUUGUGCCUGAUAAAAGGGCUAUCUUGAUAGGGUAGAUUAUAGAUAUAUGUUAUCUCAAUAUUA